AUCAAGGGUAUCCUGUAGCUUAAGAGAUGCAGAGCUAACAGGCUAGUACUGAGAGACCCUCAAGAGUUUUCCGACCAGUGGGUAGCUUUUACACAUAUUUGCAGUGUGAGAGGCCAUGCUCUGGAAUGUGAUUCUCUGCAGAUAAUGCUCUUCUUGGCACAUAAACCCAUCCCAAAUUGGCUCAGCAACCCUCUGCAGGCCCUGGAAAUAGGGAACAUGUUUACCCAACCUACACUGAUGGAUGCUCCAGAGUUUUGAGAACCCUUAGACCAUGGCGCAGUCCUCAGUUUACACAUAGUGUGACUCAGCAACCUACCAAUCACAGAUCUGAAGGGAAGGGGCCAAGACAAGAAUCAGCAUCUCCAGUGGUGUCAACUCAUCCCAAGAAGACACAUCUGAGACAAGAAUGGAGCAGACUCUGAUGCAAGCUUCUGCAGCCUGAGACACCUGGCCUUUGCCACCCACUGUCUUGUUUUCCUGGGAAAGUGAGGAAAGGUCUGCUGGCCAUACUUCCUUCUGAGGAAUAUACUGGAGCCAUACGACAUAUAGCAACACUGAACACAGCCUGUGCAGCUAUGUGACAGUCGUUGCCAUCCUCUGCACCCCAGCCAAAUCCUUGUGAAAGUACUUUGAUCUGUGUCUGGAACUGUACUGCCUCCUCCUUAACCUUCAAGAGUAAUAUGCUUAUUUGGCAUAUGAUUUGAGUGUUUCAAAGAGAUUCUAGUGAGGCUGCUGGCGGCCAAACUAUAAGUUAAAGCAGACCCACAAAUACAAACAUCCCACAAUGGUUCAUAUCCAAAGAGCUGGGCUGGGGCACCAUACACAUGUAUGAAUAGUGGCCUCAGGUGGGUGCCAUUGCUCCUGCCAUUGCCACUGGAAUCUCCCUGUAGCUGAGAUAGCAGCAUAGGGAUUUCCCACAUGAAAUGCCUCCUGACAGGAAACUUAGUGGAUGAGGAAAAACCCCAGAGCAAUUCAGGGAAUGGAUUCCAGUCAGCCUGAAAACUUGUGUUUUUGUCUUUUGGUGUUUGGCAAGACAAUACUAUUUGUUUUAAGAGCUCUGUCACUGGUCUACAAAUAAAAUAUGUAUCACCCAGUCUCCA
RNAcentral lists this long non-coding RNA (1100 nucleotides) under Felis catus (domestic cat). Its description in RNAcentral is "lncRNA (ENSFCAG00000052413.1)". Lineage: Eukaryota; Metazoa; Chordata; Mammalia; Carnivora; Felidae. The record is from RNAcentral.